GACGAACGCUGGCGGCGUGCUUAACACAUGCGAGUCGAACGGAAAGGCCCUGCUUUUGUGGGGUGCUCGAGUGGCGAACGGGUGAGUAACACGUGAGUAACCUGCCCUUGACUUUGGGAUAACUUCAGGAAACUGGGGCUAAUACCGGAUAGGAGCUCCUGCUGCAUGGUGGGGGUUGGAAAGUUUCGGCGGUUGGGGAUGGACUCGCGGCUUAUCAGCUUGUUGGUGGGGUAGUGGCUUACCAAGGCUUUGACGGGUAGCCGGCCUGAGAGGGUGACCGGCCACAUUGGGACUGAGAUACGGCCCAGACUCCUACGUGAGGCAGCAGUGGGGAAUAUUGCACAAGGGGCGGAAGCCUGAUGCAGCAACGCCGCGUGCGGGAUGACGGCCUUCGGGUUGUAAACCGCUUUCGCCUGUGACGAAGCGUGAGUGACGGUAAUGGGUAAAGAAGCACCGGCUAACUACGU
RNAcentral lists this ribosomal RNA (467 nucleotides) under uncultured bacterium. Its description in RNAcentral is "partial 16S ribosomal RNA". It matches the Rfam family "Bacterial small subunit ribosomal RNA", at positions 28 to 506 of the family's 1533-position model. The record is from RNAcentral.